AUUGAACGCUGGCGGCAGGCCUAACACAUGCAAGUCGAACGAGUGGCGGACGGGUGAGUAAUGUCUGGGCAACUGCCUUCUGGAGGGGGAUAACUACUGGAAACGGUAGCUAAUACCGCAUACCAUCAGAUGUGCCCAGAUGGGAUUAGCUAGUAGGUGGGGUAACGGCUCACCUAGGCGACGAUCACUAGCUGGUCUGAGAGGAUGACCAGUCACACGGGAACGGAGACACGGUCCAGACUCCUAAGGGAGGCAGCAGGGGGGAAUAUUGCACAAGGGGCGCAAGCCUGAUGCAGCCAUGCGGCGUGUGUGAAGAAGGCCUUCGGGUUGUAAAGUACUUUCAGCGGGGAGGCGUUACCCGCAGAAGAAGCACCGGCUAACUCCGUGCCAGCAGCCGCGGUAAUUC
RNAcentral lists this ribosomal RNA (406 nucleotides) under uncultured bacterium. RNAcentral's name for it is "partial 16S ribosomal RNA". It matches the Rfam family "Bacterial small subunit ribosomal RNA", at positions 30 to 526 of the family's 1533-position model. The record is from RNAcentral.